RNAcentral lists this ribosomal RNA (491 nucleotides) under uncultured bacterium. Its description in RNAcentral is "bacterial SSU rRNA". It matches the Rfam family "Bacterial small subunit ribosomal RNA", at positions 33 to 507 of the family's 1533-position model. The record is from RNAcentral.
GACGACGCUGGCGGCGUGCCUGACACAUGCAAGUCGGACGGUUCUUGUAUCUUCAAGCUUGCUUGCAGGUGCAAGGAUAGUGGCGGACGGGUGAGUAACGCGUGAACAUCUACCCAUUGGAGGGGGACAACCCGUCGAAAGGCGGGCUAAUACCGCGUAAGCCGCGAGGUGAGAGGCUGCCUAUUGGUGGCCGCCGAUGGAUGGGCCCGCGUCUGAUUAGCUAGUUGGUGGGGUAGUGGCCUACCAAGGCAACGAUCAGUAGCCGGCCUGAGAGGGUGGACGGCCACACUGGGACUGAGACACGGCCCAGACUCCUACGGGAGGCAGCAGUGGGGAAUAUUGCGCAAUGGGGGAAACCCUGACGCAGCGACGCCGCGUGAGCGAAGAAGGCCUUAGGGUCGUAAAGCUCUGUUGUAAGGGACGAAUGUUUAUCUGACGAACAGUCAGAUAAAGUGACGGUACCUUACCAGCAAGCCCCGGCUAACUACGUG